Molecule: long non-coding RNA, 7718 nt
Filed under: Setaria viridis
Lineage: Eukaryota; Viridiplantae; Streptophyta; Magnoliopsida; Poales; Poaceae
Description: long non-coding RNA (SVIR_LNC011224)
Source: RNAcentral
UACUGGACGAUGAAGAUGCCCGAAACGGUGAGCACGCGCAUGACGCGGCGCAUGUCGCGGAGCCUGCACGGGCUGAUGCCGGCCUCGGCGAGUAUCUGGGGCAGGGUGGCGGAGCCGCCGAGGCGGUGGACGGCGUCGGCGAUGCCGAGGUCCAAGGCGAUGGCGAGCGCGGCGGACUUGAAGAAGCCGAGGGACUGAUGCCAGAGCUGGAGCUCGGCCUGGAGCAGCUCCUGGCUGCUGUACUCGGCGAGCAAUGCCAUUACUGCCCCGAUCGACCAAUCAGUCGAUCUUGAUGGCUGGUUCUUUCUUGUUCAGGGGUUGCUGAGCUUUGGGUGGAGCCAUACACGCAUCGGGUACUUAUAGUUGCAUGGCAGCUUGGUUAAGAGGGUGUUUGGGAGAAGGGGGUUAAACUUUAGCCUUGUCACAUCGGAUGUUCGGAUACUAAUUAGGAGGACUAAAUAUAAGCUAAUUACAAAACUAAUUGCAGAACCCCUAAGCUAAAUCGCAAGACGAAUCUAUUAACCCUAACUAAUUAGGCUUAAUAGAUUCGUCUCGCGAUUUAACCUAGGGGUUGUGUAAUUAGUUUUGUAAUUAGUCUAGGUUUAAUACUCCUAACUAGUGUCCAAACAUUCGAUGUGACGGGAGCUAAAAUUUAGCCCCCUCCUCCCAAACACCUACCCCCAACGAACAUGAGCAUUAUUCUACAAGCUCUCAUUGGCUGUAUAUGCAAGCAUGUGCAGCCUUGGAAAUCAAGACGAUAUCCCAGCCGGUGCCCAGUUGACUUUGAAAGGAGGAACGAGUCAUGAGAGAUUUUUUGAAAAUAGAAUGAUAGGCUGCUUCUGCAUAUGUACUUAUAUACCAAUGAAAACUAAUUGUAUAUAUAGGGAAUUUUGAAGCACUUAGUCAACUACUAGCUGCAGUAGCUUGAAUGGUCGCAUUACAUAUGCACACGGCAGCUACUUACCCCUUGUUUACUUUCCAAUUUGGGAUAGGCAAAAUUGACAUUUUGCCAUAAAUGCGUAACUGUAGCGUUUCGUUUGUAUUUGUGAAUUAUUGUCUAAAUAUUGACUAAUUAGGCUCAAAAGAUUCGUCUCGCAAAGUACAACGAAAUUGUGUAAUUAGUUUUUGAUUUCGUCUACAUUUAGUACUCCAUGCAUGUACCGCAAGUUUGAUGUGAUGGUGAAUCUUCUUUUUGCAUAGUGUCAAAGUUGGGUGUUUGGGAGAAGGGGGCUAAACUUUAGCCUUGUCACAUCGGAUGUUCGGAUACUAAUUAGGAGGACUAAACAUAAGCUAAUUACAAAACUAAUUGCAGAACCCCUAGGCUAAAUCGCGAGACGAAUCUAUUAAGCCUAAUUAAUCCAUCAUUAGUGAAUGGUUACUGUAGCACCGCAUUGUCAAAUCAUGGACUAAUUAGGCUUAAUAGAUUCGUCUCGCGAUUUAGCCUAGGGGUUGUGUAAUUAGUCUAGGUUUAAUACUCCUAACUAGUGUCCAAACAUUCGAUGUGACGGGGGUUAAAAUUUAGCCCCCUCCUCCCAAACACCUACCCCAACGAACAUGAGCAUUAUUCUACAAGCUCUCAUUGGCUGUAUAUGCAAGCAUGUGCAGCCCUGGAAAUCAAGACGAUAUCCCAGCCGGUGCCCAGUUGACUUUGAAAGGAGGAACGAGUCAUGAGAGAUUUUUUGAAAAUAGAAUGAUAGGCUGCUUCUGCAUAUGUACUUAUAUACCAAUGAAAACUAAUUGUAUAUAUAGGGAAUUUUGAAGCACUUAGUCAACUCCUAGCUGCAGUAGCUUGAAUGGUCGUAUUACAUACGCACACGGCAGCUACUUACCCCUCGUUUACUUCCCAAUUUGGGAUAGGCAAAAUUGACAUUUUGUCAUAAAUGCGCAACUGUAGCGUUUCGUUUGUAUUUGUGAAUUAUUGUCUAAAUAUUGACUAAUUAGGCUCAAAAGAUUCGUCUCGCAAAGUACAACGAAAUUGUGUAAUUAGUUUUUGAUUUCGUCUACAUUUAGUACUCCAUGCAUGUACCGCAAGUUUAAUGUGAUGAAGAAUCUUCUUUUUGCAUAGUGUCAAAGUUGGGAGUUUGGAGGGAAGUAAACAAGGGGUUAGUUUAGGCUGCUAGGUGACCGCGAGCGGAAGCUUACGUUGCCUUGGUCAGAAUUCGAGCUAUAUAGAGAGGAGAGGCUGCGCGCUGCGCCAAGGUAUCAAUCAAUCUUAUCCUUGACCGUGAUGGCUGAAGAAGUCUUCCAUGUCUGCGCCUGCAAACUACUAAACAAAUCUUUAUCCUUGGUCAGAAUUCGAGCUGUAUAGAGAGGAGAGGCUGCGCGUAGAUCUCUAUCAUGAAUGCACAUGUAUAUCAAGCAUAAGUACUUGCAAACCAAUCAUUGAGUCUUUCACCGUUGCACGGUUUUGUUUUUAAAAGUAUGUUUGCAACUAGUCACUUCUGAAGGUAUUUGCAAUUGCAAAAAUAGUUUCUAACGUCUAUUACCGAAAAAAUUGUCCUUUUGCAUCUUAGUUUUUAAUUAUGUUGAGUUUGACAAUGAAAUUUUAUGGAUGCAUAUAUCAUGCUCAUCCCCAUCUAUAGUAAAAUUUAUAAAAUAUUCUCAAACCUUUUAAGUAGAGUGAAAAUUAAAUCCACAUUCUUGUGUCGUUUACACCACCUAUAUACUUCACCCAAGAAUGCAAUCAAAUAUGCUCACCCACCUACUGCUAGAUGUGCCUCUUCAAUAUUCAACUUAUUUUUCAUGGCUGUCCUCUCCUUAUGUCGACUGCUUCCGACGCUGCAUUGUGCACCACCGUAGUCGCUGUGCUUCCUUCGUCUCCGGUGACGAUGACAAUGCCUGCUUUGCCGCCACCAUUUUUCAGCGUGGUGGUUGUCCGAUUUCGAGUGAGAAGCAGUGUACAUCUCUAAGGCAGAUUCAUUUUUCACCGAUCCUCCAUCUGAGAAGAAGAGGAAAAGGAAGAGGAGGAGGAAGAGGAAGGAGAAGCAAGAUGACGUUGCUGCCAGAAAGCCUGAUGACAUGGAUUUGAACAUAAAUGACGACGACAUGGUAGAUUAGCAAACACAGUGGAAUAAAAACUAGACUCAAGUAUGUGCCCUUCAUGUAUACUUUGAGCAAAGCACUAUACAUGUGCAAACUUUUUUCCAGGUCUAAGUAGGCAAGCACCAAAGUAAUAAAACAGGUUUUACUCCUUUUGUAGGGUCAGAUGCCCGAAUAUGAAUCCCCCACAUAUGUAUAGGGCCACUUAUUGGACACUAUGCAUCUUAACAAUAAUUCAGAACCAGUAUAUAUAUAAUUUUGUGAUGUCUUAUUCUUUGGAUGGUGUUCUGUUCACCAAGCUUUCAAGGAUAGAGCUCGAUAACAGAUCGAACACCGAGAACAGGUAUAAUUUUGUAGUCCUUGAAUCCAGCCUCGAAGAAAAUCUUCUUCCACUCUUGCUCAUCUCGUUCAACUCCAUUGAUGUUCAUGAUUAAGAGGUCAUACAAAACUUGUGUCUCUGCAUGCUUGAUAUCAUCUGACGGCCCAGAUCCGACCACCAUAUCUAUUAUUAUUAUCUUUCCUCCAGCAUCUCGUGGAGAUAUAGCUUGUUUGCAGUUCUUCAAUAUCUUGACACACUCGUCAUCGCGCCAAUCAUGCAAAAUCCACUGAAAAAAACAAGCAAUCAUGCAUCAAUUUUCAAUCCAUACAUAAAUUAAACAUACAAUAGCUUAGGGCAUUUGCUGGUUGCUGUCAGUAAUGUGCAUUCGAAACAUUUGGGUAUUGGGAUGUACCUUGAGGAACACAGCGUUCGCCGGUGGAAUACUCUCAAACACGUCACCAGCAACGUAGUGCACGUCAGUACCAGAGGGAGCUUUUGCGACGACCUGUGGGAGAUCCAGCACGGUGCACUUCAAAUCCGGGAACGCCGCUGCUAUGGUCGCAGCGGCCCCGCCAAGGCCGCCGGCGACAUCGACGAGGGAGGUUAGCCCACGGAAGACCUCGGCGCACUCCCUGAGGACGAUCGGCAUCAGGAAGGCGGUGUCCGCGGCCAUGGCGUCGUUGAACCGGAACGCGGCGGCGUCAUGUUCCGCUCUCUCCCAGACCGUCUGGCCGCCGUACGCCAUGGCGAACGGGGACAGACCCGGCUGCUGCUGGUCGCCCUGCUGCCGGAACCACUUGCGCAUGCCCAUGCUAACCGGAGAAUCUCGGACCGGCCCGAGCAAGAGCUGCACGGUCAGGAAAUGAGGCAGUUGGCCCGUCGCCGUCGAGCUCUUGUCCCUGACGAGGAGGCGGGAGGCCGCUGUCAGCUUGUAGACCGCGGCGUCGUGCCUGCUUUCUGCCGCCGCCGCCGCCGCCGCCUCGUCCGGGUGCUGGACGAUGAAGAUGCCCGAAACGGUGAGCACGCGCAUGACGCGGCGCAUGUCGCGGAGCCUGCACGGGCUGAUCCCGGCCUCGGCGAGUAUCUGGGGCAGGGUGGCGGCGCCGCCGAGGCGGUGGACGGCGUCGGCGAUGCGGAGGUCCAAGGCGAUGGCGAGCGCGGCGGACUUGAAGAAGCCGAGGGACUGGUGCCAGAGCUGGAGCUCGGCCUGGAGCAGCUCCUGGCUGCUGUACUCGGCGAGCAAUGCCAUUACUGCCCCGAUCGACCAAUCAGUCGAUCUUGAUGGCUAAUUCUUCCUUGUUCAGGGGUUGCUGAGCUUUGGGUGGAGCCAUACACGCAUCGGGUACUUAUAGUUGCAUGGCAGCUUGGUUAAGUAUUCUACCCCCAACGAACAUGAGCAUUAUUCUACAAGCUCUCAUUGGCUGUAUAUGCAAGCAUGUGCAGCCCUGGAAAUCAAGACGAUAUCCCAGCCGGUGCCCAGUUGACUUUGAAAGGAGGAACGAGUCAUGAGAGAUUUUUUGAAAAUAGAAUGAUAGGCUGCUUCUGCAUAUGUACUUAUAUACCAAUGAAAACUAAUUGUAUAUAUAGGGAAUUUUGAAGCACUUAGUCAACUACUAGCUGCAGUAGCUUGAAUGGUCGCAUUACAUACGCACACGGCAGCUACUUAGUUUAGGCUGCUAGGUGACCGCGAGCGGAAGCUUACGUUGCCUUGGUCAGAAUUCGAGCUAUAUAGAGAGGAGAGGCUGCGCGGCUGCGCCAAGGUAUCAAUCAAUCUUAUCCUUGACCGUGAUGGCUGAAGAAGUCUUCCAUGUCUGCGCCUCCAAAGUACUAAACAAGAGCACCAGGAAUUCAGGAUCUCAUGACUGCUCAUCACUUUUGUUUUUUUAUAACUAUCUGCUCAACGAUCACUUUUGGAGUUUUUGGACAGCUACCAUGCUAGUUGAAACCACGCACCUUCAUGUUGCCGUCACAAGACUACCGUUUCAAUAUGUCCAAGUUAACAGUGGACUGAUCAGUUGCAAUCUGCAAGCGAACCAUCUUCACUGACAAUAGCUAUCAUGGAUGCACAUGUAUAUCAAGCAUAAGUACUUGCAAACCAAUCAUUGAGUCUUUCACCGUUGCACGGUUUUGUUUUUAAAAGUAUGUUUGCAACUAGUCACUUCUGAAGGUAUUUGCAAUUGCAAAAAUAGUUUCUAACGUCUAUUACCGAAAAAAUUGUCCUUUUGCAUCUUAGUUUUUAAUUAUGUUGAGUUUGACAAUGAAAUUUUAUGGAUGCAUAUAUCAUGCUCAUCCCCAUCUAUAGUAAAAUUUAUAAAAUAUUCUCAAACCUUUUAAGUAGAGUGAAAAUUAAAUCCACAUUCUUGUGUCGUUUACACCACCUAUAUACUUCACCCAAGAAUGCAAUCAAAUAUGCUCACCCACCUACUGCUAGAUGUGCCUCUUCAAUAUUCAACUUAUUUUUCAUGGCUGUCCUCUCCUUAUGUCGACUGCUUCCGACGCUGCAUUGUGCACCACCGUAGUCGCUGUGCUUCCUUCGUCUCCGGUGACGAUGACAAUGCCUGCUUUGCCGCCACCAUUUUUCAGCGUGGUGGUUGUCCGAUUUCGAGUGAGAAGCAGUGUACAUCUCUAAGGCAGAUUCAUUUUUCACCGAUCCUCCAUCUGAGAAGAAGAGGAAAAGGAAGAGGAGGAGGAAGAGGAAGGAGAAGCAAGAUGACGUUGCUGCCAGAAAGCCUGAUGACAUGGAUUUGAACAUAAAUGACGACGACAUGGUAGAUUAGCAAACACAGUGGAAUAAAAACUAGACUCAAGUAUGUGCCCUUCAUGUAUACUUUGAGCAAAGCACUAUACAUGUGCAAACUUUUUUCCAGGUCUAAGUAGGCAAGCACCAAAGUAAUAAAACAGGUUUUACUCCUUUUGUAGGGUCAGAUGCCCGAAUAUGAAUCCCCCACAUAUGUAUAGGGCCACUUAUUGGACACUAUGCAUCUUAACAAUAAUUCAGAACCAGUAUAUAUAUAAUUUUGUGAUGUCUUAUUCUUUGGAUGGUGUUCUGUUCACCAAGCUUUCAAGGAUAGAGCUCGAUAACAGAUCGAACACCGAGAACAGGUAUAAUUUUGUAGUCCUUGAAUCCAGCCUCGAAGAAAAUCUUCUUCCACUCUUGCUCAUCUCGUUCAACUCCAUUGAUGUUCAUGAUUAAGAGGUCAUACAAAACUUGUGUCUCUGCAUGCUUGAUAUCAUCUGACGGCCCAGAUCCGACCACCAUAUCUAUUAUUAUUAUCUUUCCUCCAGCAUCUCGUGGAGAUAUAACUUGUUUGCAGUUCUUCAGUAUCUUGACACACUCGUCAUCGCGCCAAUCAUGCAAAAUCCACUGGAAAAAACAAGCAAUCAUGCAUCAAUUUUCAAUCCAUACAUAAAUUAAACAUACAAUAGCUUAGGGCAUUUGCUGGUUGCUGUCACUAAUGUGCAUUCGAAACAUUUGGGUACUGGGAUGUACCUUGAGGAACACAGCGUUCGCCGGUGGAAUACUCUCAAACAUGUCACCAGCAACGUAGUGCACGUCAGUACCAGAGGGAGCUUGUGCGACGACCUGUGGGAGAUCCAGCACGGUGCACUUCAAAUCCGGGAACGCCGCUGCUAUGGUCGCAGCGGCCCCGCCAAGGCCGCCGGCGACAUCGACGAGGGAGGUUAGCCCACGGAAGACCUCGGCGCACUCCCUGAGGACGAUCGGCAUCAGGAAGGCGGUGUCCGCGGCCAUGGCUUCGUUGAACCGGAACGCCUCGGCGUCACCCUCCGCUCUCUCCCAGACAGACUGGCCGCCGUACGCCAUGGAGAACGGGGACAGACCCGGCUGCUGCAGGUCACCCUGCUGCCGGAACCACUUGCGCAUGCCCAUGCUGACCGGAGAAUCUCGGACCGGCCAGAGCAAGAGCUGCACGGUCAGGAAAUGAGGCAGCUGGCCCGUCGCCGUCGAGCUCUUGUCCCUGACGAGGAGGCGGGAGGCCGCCGUCAGCUUGUAGACCGCGGCGUCGUGCCUGCUUUCUGCCGCCGCCGCCGCCUCGUCCGGGUACUGGACGAUGAAGAUGCCCGAAACGGUGAGCACGCGCAUGACGCGGCGCAUGUCGCGGAGCCUGCACGGGCUGAUGCCGGCCUCGGCGAGUAUCUGGGGCAGGGUGGCGGAGCCGCCGAGGCGGUGGACGGCGUCGGCGAUGCCGAGGUCCAAGGCGAUGGCGAGCGCGGCGGACUUGAAGAAGCCGAGGGACUGAUGCCAGAGCUGGAGCUCGGCCUGGAGCAGCUCCUGGCUGCUGUACUCGGCGAGCAAUGCCAUUACUGCCCCGAUCGACCAAUCAGUCGAUCUUGAUGGCUG